Molecule: long non-coding RNA, 291 nt
Filed under: Gallus gallus (chicken)
Lineage: Eukaryota; Metazoa; Chordata; Aves; Galliformes; Phasianidae
Source: RNAcentral
AAGAAGACUAAUAUAGAAAGGUUUGUCUUUUCAGAAGAGACCUAUAGAACAAUGAGAACUAAAUCCUGUCACAGGCUGUGAUGCCUGCUUUAAUAGAGUAGCACUACAUAAACAGAAUGACAGCAGGAGCAGCAACAGCUAUAAGUAGGAGUCUAUAUCUUAGGCUGUAUCACCCAGUAUUACAGAAAUAGUUUCAUACAGCUGCUAAUAUUGUCAGUUUGGUUACAGCAGGUAGUCUUUCUCAAACUGAGGACUGCAGAGGAAGUAGAAACCACUAUGCAUCAACUUCAG